RNAcentral lists this ribosomal RNA (198 nucleotides) under uncultured bacterium. RNAcentral's name for it is "partial 16S ribosomal RNA". It matches the Rfam family "Bacterial small subunit ribosomal RNA", at positions 328 to 539 of the family's 1533-position model. The record is from RNAcentral.
ACGCUCGACACCUACGGGGGCAGCAGUUGGGAAUAUUGGACAAUGGAGGAAACUCUGAUCCAGUGACGCCGCGUGAAGGAAGAAGGUCUUCGGAUUGUAAACUUAUUUUGUCAGGGAAGAAAAAUGACUGUACCUGAAGAAAAAGCACCGGCUAACUACGUGCCAGUAGCCGCGGUAAUCUGAGCGGGCUGGCAAGGC